Molecule: ribosomal RNA, 375 nt
Filed under: uncultured bacterium
Lineage: Bacteria
Description: bacterial SSU rRNA
Rfam family: Bacterial small subunit ribosomal RNA
Source: RNAcentral
AUACGUAGGUGGCAAGCGUUGUCCGGAAUUGUUGGGCGUAAAGAGCGCGUAGGCGGGAAGGGAAGUCUAUCUUAAAAGUGCGGGGCUCAGCCUCGUGAGGGGGUAGAAACUCCUUUUCUUGAGUGCCGGAGAGGAAAGCGGAAUUCCCAGUGUAGGGGUGAAAUGCGUAGAUAUUGGGAGGAACACCAGUGGCGAAGGCGGCUUUCUGGACGGUGUCUGACGCUGAGGCGCGAAAGCCAGGGGAGCGAACGGGAUUAGACACCCCGGUAGUCCUGGCCGUAAACGAUGGGUACUAGGUGUGGGAGGUAUCGACCCCUUCCGUGCCGGAGUUAACGCAAUAAGUACCCCGCCGGGGGAGUACGGCCGCAAGGUUGA